This 638-nucleotide ribosomal RNA is filed under the name Salmonella enterica. Its description in RNAcentral is "partial 23S ribosomal RNA". It matches the Rfam family "Bacterial large subunit ribosomal RNA", at positions 2226 to 2858 of the family's 2925-position model. Lineage: Bacteria; Pseudomonadati; Pseudomonadota; Gammaproteobacteria; Enterobacterales; Enterobacteriaceae. The record is from RNAcentral.
CGUGGACCCGUGAUCCGGGUUGCGGACAGUGUCUGGUGGGUAGUUUGACUGGGGCGGUCUCCUCCUAAAGAGUAACGGAGGAGCACGAAGGUUGGCUAAUCCUGGUCGGACAUCAGGAGGUUAGUGCAAUGGCAUAAGCCAGCUUGACUGCGAGCGUGACGGCGCGAGCAGGUGCGAAAGCAGGUCAUAGUGAUCCGGUGGUUCUGAAUGGAAGGGCCAUCGCUCAACGGAUAAAAGGUACUCCGGGGAUAACAGGCUGAUACCGCCCAAGAGUUCAUAUCGACGGCGGUGUUUGGCACCUCGAUGUCGGCUCAUCACAUCCUGGGGCUGAAGUAGGUCCCAAGGGUAUGGCUGUUCGCCAUUUAAAGUGGUACGCGAGCUGGGUUUAGAACGUCGUGAGACAGUUCGGUCCCUAUCUGCCGUGGGCGCUGGAGAACUGAGGGGGGCUGCUCCUAGUACGAGAGGACCGGAGUGGACGCAUCACUGGUGUUCGGGUUGUCAUGCCAAUGGCACUGCCCGGUAGCUAAAUGCGGAAGAGAUAAGUGCUGAAAGCAUCUAAGCACGAAACUUGCCCCGAGAUGAGUUCUCCCUGAGACUUAAAGUCUCCUGAAGGAACGUUGAAGACGACGACGUUGAUA